GCCACCGCCAUCUGCUGCCGGAAGGAAUUCGUGAGUCUUGUAUGCCAAUUCGGGACAUUUCUUUCUUCUUGGCAAUGGCGGUUCUAAGAAUGAAAUUCAAUCUAGGACGACUUUCGGAUUCCAAUCUCUGGUGCACGACAGCGAGAGAGCGCAAAUUGUUUCGUUUAAUUGCGCGCUUAAUGAUCGACGUUUAUCAAGGGAUGGUUCAAUGGGACUUAGAGUAUUGAAACGCGCAUAAGCUCCAUCGAUAAAAUGUCAAGCAGAGCGAGAGGGAACGAAAAAUGUUAAACUUGGAAAUAAACAAAAUCGAGUCGCUAAAAUAAUAAUAAUAUCGUGAAAAAUUCUUACAUACAUAGAUUCUAUAUAUAAGGAUAAACAUGCACAAUUGAAGUUUGUCGAAAAAUUUUACAAGAGAGAGAGCAAUAAGUCGAUAAUAUGUCUCAAGCAUAAAAUGAUGAUGGGAAAACAUUAAUAUUAUCGUUAGGAAAAGGCCUAAUUUAUAAUAUUAUAUUUAUGUAUGUACGUCGAACAACAGCUCUUUUGCACUACCUACGUAAAUAAAGAAAAUGAGUGAGAACGA
RNAcentral lists this long non-coding RNA (580 nucleotides) under Polistes fuscatus (common paper wasp). RNAcentral's name for it is "uncharacterized LOC122519985". The record is from RNAcentral. Lineage: Eukaryota; Metazoa; Arthropoda; Insecta; Hymenoptera; Vespidae.